GACGAACGCUGGCGGCGUGCUUAACACAUGCAAGUCGAACGGAAAGGCCCCUUUGGGGGUCCUCGAGUGGCGAACGGGUGAGUAACACGUGAGUAACCUGCCCUUGACUUCGGGAUAACUUCAGGAAACUGGGGCUAAUACCGGAUAGGAAUCCUUGCUUCAUGGUGGGGGUUGGAAAGCUUCGGCGGUUUUGGAUGGACUCGCGGCUUAUCUGCUUGUUGGUGGGGUAGUGGCUUACCAAGGCUUUGACGGGUAGCCGGCCUGAGGGGGCGACCGGCCACAUUGGGACUGAGAGACGGCCCAGACUCCUACGGGAGGCAGAAGUGGGGAAUAUUGCACAAUGGGCGGAAGCCUGAUGCAGCAACGCCGCGUGCGGGAUGACGGCCUUCGGGUUGUAAAACGAUUUCAGCAGGGGCGAAGCUUGUGGUGACGGUACCUGCAGAAGAAGCACCGGCUAACUACGUG
Molecule: ribosomal RNA, 465 nt
Filed under: uncultured bacterium
Lineage: Bacteria
Description: partial 16S ribosomal RNA
Rfam family: Bacterial small subunit ribosomal RNA
Source: RNAcentral